CCUACGGGAGGCAGCAGUGAGGAAUAUUGGUCAAUGGACGCAAGUCUGAACCAGCCAAGUAGCGUGCAGGAUGACGGCCCUCCGGGUUGUAAACUGCUUUUAGUUGGGAAUAAAAGGGGGCUCGUGAGCCCCGUAUUGUAUGUACCAUCAGAAAAAGGACCGGCUAAUUCCGUGCCAGCAGCCGCGGUAAUACGGAAGGUCCGGGCGGUAUCCGGAAUUAUUGGGUUUAAAGGGAGCGUAGGCGGGCUUUUAAGUCAGCUGGGAAAGUCCGGGGCCCAACCGUGGAAUUGCAGUUGAAACUGGAGGCCUUGAGUGCACACAGGGAUGCCGGAAUUCAUGGUGUAGCGGUGAAAUGCUUAGAUAUCAUGAAGAACUCCGAUCGCGAAGGCAAGUGUCCGGGGUGCAACUGACGCUGAGGCUCGAAAGUGCGGGUAUCAAACAGGAUUAGAUACCCCUGUAGUC
Molecule: ribosomal RNA, 462 nt
Filed under: uncultured bacterium
Lineage: Bacteria
Description: partial 16S ribosomal RNA
Rfam family: Bacterial small subunit ribosomal RNA
Source: RNAcentral